Helianthus annuus (common sunflower) is the source of this 504-nucleotide long non-coding RNA. RefSeq lists it as uncharacterized. The transcript has 3 exons. Lineage: Eukaryota; Viridiplantae; Streptophyta; Magnoliopsida; Asterales; Asteraceae. The record is from RefSeq and is a predicted model, not a curated record.
CCCAUGUUUCUUCUGGAACUUAAAAGAAGGCUGAUGUGUGUGUGGGCUAUGGUGCGAUCAUGGAGAAGAAAGCAAUAAUGCAAGGAGAAUCAAGUAAUCGAACCGAGUAACUAAUGAUAAAUUUUACCCAGAAGGUCAUCGUCUAUCAUGAGUAUUUGUAGUAGCAAUCACUGGGUUGUCAACUGGUCAAUGGAGAAAUUCAUUACACGGACAAUCCUACGGACGAAGGUAGGACGAGUUGAUUAUUCAUUUAAGUGGCCAAGACAUGUGGAUUAAGCGGAUAGUCCCCAAUUGCAUAUCAUAUUGGGAAAUUAAUUCGAGGAACUAUUUUAGGGGAAAUGGACGGAGAAAGGAGCGACUUAAAUCGAUGACCUGAAAGAUAAGUGAAACCAUGAGUUGUUCAUAAUUAGCCCCGUUGAGUAAUACACAUAUAAACAUAUUUGUAUAUAUAUAUGGUCGUGGAUAUGAUACCAUUGAAAUAUACAAACUUAUAAUUUUGAUUAA